Molecule: transfer RNA, 72 nt
Filed under: Phrynosoma platyrhinos (Desert horned lizard)
Lineage: Eukaryota; Metazoa; Chordata; Lepidosauria; Squamata; Phrynosomatidae
Description: tRNA-OTHER
Source: RNAcentral
GCCAGCAUGGUAUAGUGGUUUGAACAUUGGUCUAUGACUCUGCAGACCAGGGUUCAAAUCCCAAUUCAGUUA